Molecule: ribosomal RNA, 418 nt
Filed under: uncultured bacterium
Lineage: Bacteria
Description: bacterial SSU rRNA
Rfam family: Bacterial small subunit ribosomal RNA
Source: RNAcentral
UUUUUCGCAAUGGGGGCAACCCUGACGAAGCAAUGCCGCGUGUGUGAAGAAGGCCUUCGGGUUGUAAAGCACUUUCAGCGGGGACGAAAAGGUACGGGCGAACAGUCCGUGCUGUUGACGUGAACCGCAGAAGAAGCACCGGCUAACUCCGUGCCAGCAGCCGCGGUAAUACGGAGGGUGCGAGCGUUAAUCGGAAUUACUGGGCGUAAAGCGCGCGUAGGCGGUCAUCUCAGUCUGCUGUGAAAGCCCCGGGCUCAACCUGGGAAUGGCAGUGGAUACUGGAUGGCUGGAGUCUGGGAGAGGGUCGUGGAAUUACACGUGUAGCGGUGAAAUGCGUAGAUAUGUGGAGGAACACCAAUGGCGAAGGCAGCGACCUGGCCCGAGACUGACGCUGAAGUGCGAAAGCGUGGGGAGCAAA